This 467-nucleotide ribosomal RNA is filed under the name uncultured bacterium. RNAcentral describes it as "partial 16S ribosomal RNA". It matches the Rfam family "Bacterial small subunit ribosomal RNA", at positions 28 to 507 of the family's 1533-position model. The record is from RNAcentral.
GACGAAUGCUGGCGGCGUGCUUAACACAUGCAAGUCGAACGGAAAGGCCCUGCUUUUGUGGGGUGCUCGAGUGGCGAACGGGUGAGUAACACGUGAGUAACCUGCCCUUGACUUUGGGAUAACUUCAGGAAACUGGGGCUAAUACCGGAUAGGAGCUCCUGCUGCAUGGUGGGGGUUGGAAAGUUUCGGCGGUUGGGGAUGGACUCGCGGCUAUCAGCUUGUUGGUGGGGUAGUGGCUUACCAAGGCUUUGACGGGUAGCCGGCCUGAGAGGGUGACCGGCCACAUUGGGACUGAGAUACGGCCCAGACUCCUACGGGAGGCAGCAGUGGGGAAUAUUGCACAAUGGGCGGAAGCCUGAUGCAGCAACGCCGCGUGCGGGAUGACGGCCUUCGGGUUGUAAACCGCUUUCGCCUGUGACGAAGCGUGAGUGACGGUAAUGGGUAAAGAAGCACCGGCUAACUACGUG